GGGAAUAUUGGACAAUGGGGGCAACCCUGAUCCAGCAAUGCCGCGUGUGUGAAGAAGGUCUUCGGAUUGUAAAGCACUUUCGACGGGGACGAUGAUGACGGUACCAGUAGAAGAAGCCCCGGCUAACUUCGUGCCAGCAGCCGCGGUAAUACGAAUGGGGCUAGCGUUGCUCGGAAUGACUGGGCGUAAAGGGCGUGUAGGCGGUUUACACAGUCAGAUGUGAAAUCCCCGGGCUUAACCUGGGAGCUGCAUUUGAUACGUGUAGACUAGAGUGUGAGAGAGGGUUGUGGAAUUCCCAGUGUAGAGGUGAAAUUCGUAGAUAUUGGGAAGAACACCGGUGGCGAAGGCGGCAACCUGGCUCAUUACUGACGCUGAGGCGCGAAAGCGUGGGGAGUA
RNAcentral lists this ribosomal RNA (396 nucleotides) under uncultured bacterium. RNAcentral's name for it is "bacterial SSU rRNA". It matches the Rfam family "Bacterial small subunit ribosomal RNA", at positions 357 to 770 of the family's 1533-position model. The record is from RNAcentral.